AAGAAACAAAGGUUUCGUCUGAAGACAUGUUGUCUGCAAUCUUCCUAAAAUAAAUUUGGCCUUUCCUACUUGUGGUGUUGAUAGGAUGUUCUGCAAGCCUCAAAUGACAAGACAACCAC
Molecule: small nucleolar RNA, 119 nt
Filed under: Leersia perrieri
Lineage: Eukaryota; Viridiplantae; Streptophyta; Magnoliopsida; Poales; Poaceae
Description: Small nucleolar RNA snoR104
Rfam family: Small nucleolar RNA snoR104
Source: Rfam by way of RNAcentral